UACGUAGGUGGCAAGCGUUGUCCGGAAUUAUUGGGCGUAAAGCGCGCGCAGGUGGUUCCUUAAGUCUGAUGUGAAGGCCCACGGCUCAACCGUGGAGGGUCAUUGGAAACUGGGGAACUUGAGUGCAGAAGAGGAAAGUGGAAUUCCACGUGUAGCGGUGAAAUGCGUAGAGAUGUGGAGGAACACCAGUGGCGAAGGCGACUUUCUGGUCUGCAACUGACACUGAGGCGCGAAAGCGUGGGGAGCGAACAGG
RNAcentral lists this ribosomal RNA (253 nucleotides) under uncultured bacterium. Its description in RNAcentral is "partial 16S ribosomal RNA". It matches the Rfam family "Bacterial small subunit ribosomal RNA", at positions 524 to 776 of the family's 1533-position model. The record is from RNAcentral.